CUUUAAUAGCACUGGUCACAAUCUCCAACUCUCUGAUUCACUAAUUCAUUCUCUCAUUCAUUAAUUCAUGCUCUCAUUUCCUGCCUCCUACACCAUAAUAGCAGCACUAUGAGGGUGACAGCAUUGUGAAUCCAGCUUACUCCUCCCACAGCACUUAGAGCAGAUUCUUGGCACAGAAGGUACUCUAUGAAUUUGACUUGAAUGAAUGAAGUCACAUUCGAUUAUGAGAAGAAGAAACCUUUCUCAGUUCUAAAACACAUUUUUAUUGAUUUGAACUGGGCUGCAUCUUACAACAGAUGAGCAUAUUUGGUGCUGUAUUUCACUCCCACUUCUCCCUGAAAAGCUGUUAGUACAUUGGGGUGCUCAUGGAGUAAAUUGUGUCUUAGCACCAAGGAGGGACAACAAACAUGAUUCUGAGCAGAGCUUUGCUGCCUGUAUCCAGGAUGGUUUUGCUGAGCAAUGAGAAGGAAGGAGGCACAUCAAAGGGGAUGGAAUAAGGAAACCAGUGCCCAGAAAUGAUUAGAAGGAACAGAGAGGCAUGAAGGACAUCAGGAGAAGGCAGGACCAGCCCCAACGGUCUUCAUCUGGGACCAGGGAACGAUGCGGCGGGGAGCCCCUCCCCCUGGGCGUCUGCGGGCGGCAUUUUUAGCUGCAUAUAGUAUCCGAGCGAGGAGGGAGAGGGAGAGAGACGGACGCGAAGUUGGGUGUUUUUCCGAUGCAUUAAUUAUUUUUUUUAAAAGGGAGGGGUGGGGACCAAAGUUCAAGACACGCCAGCAGACACAGGUGCGCUGCGGCGGCCGCUGGUCCGGCGCGGCCGUUCCCGGGUUCGCGGACACCCGCCGCGCGCCUCACCUGGCUGCGCACCUGAGCGGGCCCCGCGGCUCGGCGCCCCCUCGGCUCCCCGGCGUCGGGCCGCCUCCCUCGCGCCUGUGGAACUUGCUGGAGUUCGGCCCCUCCCAGGACGCGAGUGGUCCCGAGAACAGAUCGCCUUUUCAAUUUGUUGAUUCUUUCUCUGUGCAGAGAAGUUCAGAAAGUAUAAAGAAUAAAUAACAAUCAACCAUAAUCCCACUACUGAAAGAUCUGGAUUUUGUUGGGAAACUCAAGUACAACACUUAGCAUCACUUCCCAAGGACCUCCAUGUGGUUUGGUAAGCCAAA
RNAcentral lists this long non-coding RNA (1157 nucleotides) under Vulpes vulpes (red fox). RNAcentral describes it as "lncRNA (ENSVVUG00000029740.1)". The record is from RNAcentral. Lineage: Eukaryota; Metazoa; Chordata; Mammalia; Carnivora; Canidae.